UUCAUUUCCCUUCUUUCAUCUUCUAGUCUUAGAUUUUUGUUGAUGGUAAGGAGAUAGAUAAAUUGGAAAUGAAUUACAACCCUAUGGCCCCCACUGUGUUCCAUGCCGCUCUAAAAAUUAUAGUCUGUUAUUCUCUUAGCUAUUCUUG
Octopus sinensis (East Asian common octopus) is the source of this 148-nucleotide long non-coding RNA. RefSeq lists it as uncharacterized. NCBI's taxonomy places the organism in Eukaryota, Metazoa, Mollusca, Cephalopoda, Octopoda, Octopodidae. The transcript is spliced from 3 exons. The record is from RefSeq and is a predicted model, not a curated record.